GUCCCCUUCGUCUAGAGGCCCGGGACACCGCCCUUUCACGGCGGUAACAGGGGUUCGAUCCUAGGGGACGCCA
This 73-nucleotide transfer RNA is filed under the name Escherichia coli. RNAcentral's name for it is "tRNA-Glu". It matches the Rfam family "tRNA". Rfam says of the family: Transfer RNA (tRNA) molecules are approximately 80 nucleotides in length. Their secondary structure includes four short double-helical elements and three loops (D, anti-codon, and T loops). The record is from RNAcentral. Lineage: Bacteria; Pseudomonadati; Pseudomonadota; Gammaproteobacteria; Enterobacterales; Enterobacteriaceae.